This 1040-nucleotide long non-coding RNA is filed under the name Homo sapiens (human). RNAcentral's name for it is "HSALNT0251470". The record is from RNAcentral. Lineage: Eukaryota; Metazoa; Chordata; Mammalia; Primates; Hominidae.
CGCCAAGAGUUGAGCCUGUGGGUCUCUCCAUAAGAGUUUUAAAACUCUUGCCAGUUACCACUUUAUCCAAUUUGCUAUCAUUUUCGUAUUAUCAGCUAUCGCCCUGUAAAAUAUUCAAAACUAGCUAUUUCUAAAGUAAACAUUUUAUCUGUUACUUUUAACCAGAUAGGUGUCUUUGUCAUCCUUCUACUAUAAAUUGUUCUUUGCCAACCUGUACAGGUAGAUGAACCAGGCGAGAGUUUUAAUCAGCCUUUUCUUGUCCCCUUUGUAAGAAAGAGAUGCUUGCCAUAGAGAAGGACAUGAGUACAUUAAAAAUAAUUUAAUAGCCACAAUAUGAUGUUCUUUAAGCUGCAAAUUGAGUACACUGGGAAUCAACAAAUUUGAUGAAGCCUGUCUGUCUCUUCACCAGUGGAGUGAGUGCAGCAGUUAGAAAGAGAAGCAAUAUUGUGCAACUGGUGCAGUGGUGAUUUUGUUUUCAAAUGCUCCUUGUGAAAACACCUAGUGUUGUAGAAAGGAAAGUGGCCAGAAAGAACAACUUGGGACCAUGAGUAGGUCAUUAAAUAGCUUAGUGAUUUAUCCUCAUAUAGGGCUUAUAAACCCUGUAUGUGUUUAUAUGUGCUUCACAGAGUUCGUGUCAGGCUCAAAGGAGAUAUGUAUAAGAAAGUGGUUUGUAAAUUAUGUUCCAUUUCAUAAAUAGACACUAUUCACAAACUAAAAUCUAAUAAAAAACCACAGUUGUAAUUUAAACUGCUUGAUAUAAAAAGAGGUAUCAUAGCAGGGAAAACACACUAAUUUUCAUACAGUAGAGGUAUUGAAAACUGAAAAUGGGAAGGCAACUUGAAGUCAUUGUAUUUGAUUGAAAAUGUUUAAUACAUCUCAUUAUUGACAAAAUAUGUCAUCUUGUAUUUAUUUCAAGGAAACCAAUGAAUUCUAGGUAGUAUAUUACAAGUUGGUCAAAAUAUUCCAUGUACAAAUAGGGCUUCUGUGUCCAUAGCCUUGUAAGAGAUACUGAUUGUAUCUGAAAUUAUUUUUUAAAAAAA